GAAGUCUGACGAAGGAAAAUUCCGUAUAAGUUUUAUACGGCGAAAUGCGAUGGUCUUAAAACAGUAUACGUUAUUUGAUGGUCGCUUACUACUUGGAUAACUGUGGUAAUUGUAGAGCUAAUACAUGCGCCAAGACCCGACUUCUCGGAAGGGUUGUGUUUAUUAGAUACAGAACCAACCCACUUUCGGGGGUGUUUUGGGGAUUGAUGAUAACCAUUCCGAACCGCAUGCUUUGCGGCGAUGAAUCAUUAAAGUUUCUGACCUAUGACCUUCCGACGGUAGGGUAUUGGCCUACCGUGGCUUUGACGGUAACGGAGAAUUAGGGUCGAUUCCGGAGAGGGAGCCUGAGAAACGGCUACCACAUCUAAGGAAGGCAGCAGGCGCGCAAAUUACCCAAUACUGACACAGGGAGGUAGGGACAAGAAAUAACAAUGCACGGCUCCAUGUAUUGCAAUUUGGAAUGAGGAGAAUUUAAAACCCUUUACGAGUAUACAUUGGAGGGCAAGUGGGGAGCCAGCAGCCGCGGUAAUUCCAGAUCCAAUAGCGUAUAUUAAAGUUUUAGCGGUUAAAAAGCUCGAAGUUGGAUUUCUCGCUCAGGGCACCCGGUCCCGACUUUGAUCCUGUAUUGGG
This 630-nucleotide ribosomal RNA is filed under the name Prorocentrum micans. Its description in RNAcentral is "SSU rRNA". It matches the Rfam family "Eukaryotic small subunit ribosomal RNA", at positions 60 to 683 of the family's 1831-position model. Lineage: Eukaryota; Dinophyceae; Prorocentrales; Prorocentraceae. The record is from RNAcentral.